CGUCGAACGCGAAAGUCCUUCGGGGCGAGUAGAGUGGCGGACGGGUGAGUAAUACAUGGGAAUCUGCCCUUUGGUGGGGAAUAACCCGGCGAAAGCCGGGCUAAUGCCGCAUAAGAUCUUCGGAUGAAAGCGGGGGAUCGUAAGACCUCGCGCCGAUGGAUGAGCCCAUGUCGGAUUAGCUAGUUGGUGAGGUAACGGCUCACCAAGGCGACGAUCCGUAGCUGGUCUGAGAGGACGGCCAGCCACACUGGGACUGAGACACGGCCCAGUCUCCUACGGGAGGCAGCAGUGGGGAAUAUUGGACAAUGGGCGAAAGCCUGAUCCAGCGACGCCGCGUGUGUGAAGAAGGCCUGCGGGUUGUAAACCACUGUCGGAAGGGACGAAUGCCCCGCAAGGGGAGUGACGGUACCUUCAAAGGAAGCACCGGCUAACUCCGUGCCAGCAGCCGCGGUAAUACGGAGGGUGCGAGCGUUGUCCGGAAUCACUGGGCGUAAAGGGCGCGUAGGCGGCCCGGUAAGUAGGGGGUGAAAUCUUGCGGCUCAACCACAAGGCUGCCUUCUAGACUGCCAGGCUCGAGCACAGUAGAGGCAGGUGGAAUUCCACGUGUAGCAGUGAAAUGCGUAGAGAUGUGGAGGAACACCAAUGGCGAAGGCAGCCCCCUGGGUCGAUACUGACGCUCAUGCACGAAAGCGUGGGUAGCAAACAGGAUUAGAUACCCUGGUAGUCCACGCCCUAAACGAUGUCAACUAGGUGUUGGGUGGGUAAAACCAUUUAGUACCGUAGCUAACGCGUGAAGUUGACCGCCUGGGGAGUACGGCCGCAAGGUUAAAACUCAAAGGAAUUGACGGGGACCCGCACAAGCGGUGGAUGAUGUGGAUUUAAUUCGAUGCAACGCGAAAAACCUUA
Molecule: ribosomal RNA, 906 nt
Filed under: uncultured beta proteobacterium
Lineage: Bacteria; Pseudomonadati; Pseudomonadota; Betaproteobacteria
Description: bacterial SSU rRNA
Rfam family: Bacterial small subunit ribosomal RNA
Source: RNAcentral